Pseudophryne corroboree (corroboree frog) is the source of this 1171-nucleotide long non-coding RNA. RefSeq lists it as uncharacterized. The transcript has 2 exons. The record is from RefSeq and is a predicted model, not a curated record. NCBI's taxonomy places the organism in Eukaryota, Metazoa, Chordata, Amphibia, Anura, Myobatrachidae.
CCGUAAAGCAUCGGGCUGCAAACUCAGCUGAGCUGAGCAGUUAAUGGGAGUGACCGGGGGUGGAUGGCGAUGGGUCACCAUAUACCUCUGGAACUCUGUUUGUACUACACAAGGGGCUUCUUGUCAGGUGCUGUGCUGCUGAUAUUGUACUGUGUUGCCUUGAAUUGAGCUUUCAGACAUGUCAGCUACAAGAGGCGACGGAGCUGGGGCUGAUCCCACAUUGCGUGGUGGUGACGCUGCAGACACAUUAGAGGAAAACAUAGCAGCUGAGGGUACAGGUUCUGGGGGUUCCCUACCCCCCAGUGGGACCGUAGCAACGGGGUGCAUGAUUACCCACCUUGGGCUAUUUUCUCUACGUUAUUGAAAACGCUGGUAGCUAGACUUACGCCCCCUAUGGGACCUCCUGUGCUGGUGCAACCGCUUAUGGUCCGUGUUGUUAAUCCGCCAUGGGUAGAUCAACUGUCCGCUUAGUUACAGCAAUUGAACCAAUCACUGACUAAACAGAAAUCUCACCCGCCUAAAACCAAGUGGGCUAUUACUUCCUCACAAUCCACCAACGUCCCAGACACCUCGUCUGAUGAGGAUGGCGUAUAUACUGACCCCACAGACACUGAUACUGAUAAUUCUGGUGGGGAAUCUGUUUCACAGGUGGAUGUUCCUGACUUGUUGGAGGCUAUCAGGAUAAUUCUUCGAAUUACUGAUGACCCAGAGCCUGAUACUGCCCCUAUGGUAAUUCCAUGAUUAUGUCAACCAGAACAUCUUUUCCUGAAAGUGGCCACAAUUAAUCUUGUAGUGAAAAUUUAUAUUCUCUGAAGUUAAUAUUUUGUAAAACCAAAGAUGAUAAACACCUGUUUUUCAUAAAUCAUAAGUUGGCAGCAUUGUUUCUUCAAGAUGGCAGUCUGUGGAAAGCUGUGGUGAUUUUGUGCCUUAUUUGACAACUGUUUAUUGAUACAUACAAAUAUUGCUAAACACCAGAUUAUAAGAAUUUUACCAGAGCCACAAUUUGAUAAUAGGCUUAAACUGUAUUUUCAAGAUGUUAGCUUUGAUAAUGAUGUAGUUUAAUUGGCAGAUCUAAAUGGUUUUUGCAAGUAUUUUGGAACAUGUUGUGUCUGUCACAAUUCCUAUGUCGUGUCUGUCACAGGAAUAAUGUUUAAUAAAAUAUUUACAAAUA